Molecule: long non-coding RNA, 1620 nt
Filed under: Nicotiana benthamiana
Lineage: Eukaryota; Viridiplantae; Streptophyta; Magnoliopsida; Solanales; Solanaceae
Description: long non-coding RNA (NBEN_LNC024258)
Source: RNAcentral
CCAGUUCAGCACCAAAUUAUCUCGAUGCACCAUUUCAACACCCGUGUCAGAUUCACAAGGCAGGCGUCGAAUGAAUUCCCUACCACUGAGAAGUCGUCCAUGAACACCUCCAUUAUAUCUUCAACCAUAUCAGUGAAAAUGGCCAUCAUGCACCGUUGGGAUGUGGCGGGUGCAUUGCAAAGGCCAAAUGGCGUCCUCCUGAAGGCAUAAAUACCAUAAGGGCAUGUGAAGGAGGUCUUCUCUCGGUCCUCAGGUGCAAUAAAGAUAUGGUUGUACCUUGAGUACCCGUCAAGAAAGCAGAAAUGUGACCUCCCUGCCAAUCUAUCCAGCAUCUGAUAAAUGAAGGAAGUGGGAAGUGGUCUUUCCGGGUGAAAAGAUUUAGCUUUUUAUAAUCCAUACAUAUUCUCCAACCAGUGACAGUUCUUGUUGAGAUUAGUUCAUUUUUGUCAUUCUUCACAACCGUCAUGCCACCCUUCUUAGGCACACAUUGAACUGGGCUAACCCAGCUGCUGUCAGAAAUUGGGAAAAUGAUUCCCGUAUCCAACCACUUUAUUACUUCCUUCUUCACCACUUCCUUCGUAUUCGGGUUCAGUCUCCUCUGAUGUUCUCUGGAAGGUCUGUGUCCCUCUUCCAGCAGGAUCUUGUGCACACAAUAAGCGGGGCUGAUCACCUUAAUGUCUGCCAUGGUCCACCCAACGGCAGUAUUGCAUUCCUUCAGUACCUUUAAAAGCUUUUGCACCUGCACAUCAAGCAAACUAGAGGAGAUAAUAAACCACUUUAUUACUUCCUUCUUCAACACUUCCUUCAUAUUCGAGUUCAGCCUCCUCUGAUGUUCCUUGGAAAUCUGUGUCCCUCUUCUAGCAGGAUCUUGUGCAUACAAUAAGUGGGGUUUAUCCCCUUGAUGUCUGUCAUGGUCCACCCAAUGACAGUUUUGCAUUCCUUCAGUACCUGUAAAAGCUGUUGCACAUGCACAUCUAGCAAACCAGAUGAGUGGAGUCACGUCCCAGAAAUUCAUACCUGAGGUCGGCUGGCAAGGGCUUUAGCUCCACAUCCUCGUCCCUACGAGGAAGUUGCUCCUCAAAAAUAUUAACCCUGCUCUGAGCUUGCUACACUAAAAGCUCCUGCCUCGCCACCUCCUCAACCAACUAUUGUUAUCUAAUGAUGCUUUGGAGAAUUCAUUUGGGAAUCCAAGUGGAAUGGCCAAAGAAGCCAUAGGAAGUAACCAAUAUUUCAUUACCCAACAUGACAGGACUAAUCCAAAUAUUCAUUACCCAAUGUGGAAUAUUCUAGGUUUAUUGUUCUCAAAUUAUGUAGAGUUGUAAUUAUCAGUAAACACCAUCAGAUGUAGUAUCCAUUGCAAAUACCACAGACAAAGCUUGCAUCUUGGCUAUCAUCAUUCGGCCUUUUAACAAAAUAAAUGAUUCCUCAUUCAAUUAUCAAGUUGUAAAGUUGAAACAGUUGGUGCUCAUAUUAUAUGUCUAAUACCUAUCCUACUAAUUUACAUCACUUUUUUUUUCCUUCAAAACUUAGGAGCUUGACCUUCACGUAGCCUGCAGGUUGAGUCACUUAGUUUCGACUACAUAAACACAAAUCCUCUUAUAAGCUUCUUUAAGAAAGCUG